CCUACGGGUGGCUGCAGUGGGGAAUAUUGGGCAAUGGGCGCAAGCCUGACCCAGCAACGCCGCGUGAAGGAAGAAGGCUUUCGGGUUGUAAACUUCUUUUCUGAGGGACGAAGAAAGUGACGGUACCUCAGGAAUAAGCCACGGCUAACUACGUGCCAGCAGCCGCGGUAAUACGUAGGUGGCAAGCGUUAUCCGGAUUUAUUGGGUGUAAAGGGCGUGUAGGCGGAAUGUCAAGUCAGCGGUAAAAUUUCGGGGCUCAACCCCGUCGUGCCGUUGAAACUGGCGUUCUUGAGUGAGCGAGAGGUAUGCGGAAUGCGUGGUGUAGCGGUGAAAUGCAUAGAUAUCACGCAGAACUCCGAUUGCGAAGGCAGCAUACCGGCGCUCAACUGACGCUCAUGCACGAAAGCGUGGGUAUCGAACAGGAUUAGAUACCCGGGUAGUC
RNAcentral lists this ribosomal RNA (442 nucleotides) under uncultured bacterium. Its description in RNAcentral is "partial 16S ribosomal RNA". It matches the Rfam family "Bacterial small subunit ribosomal RNA", at positions 338 to 795 of the family's 1533-position model. The record is from RNAcentral.